GGCAGCAGGAGCCAGGGCAGCACAGUCUGUGGAACACCCAAAGCCCCUCCAGGACCCCAGGCUAGGGUGACAGCUAGGAAACUGGCAAGCCAGGACAGGAGGACAAGGAAACCUGGGCCCCCUGGAGCUUGGGAAGCAGGCAGAAUGGAAGAUGGGAAAGAAGCCGUCUCCAGGCUCGUCCCAAUGGAGGUAAAUUGAUAUCCAGGAUUCAGAUGAGGCCCAGAAGCAUGAAUACCCUGCCCAGAGGUUCUGGAACCUUCAGUCUGGCUCUGGAGACUUUAGCCAUCAAGUAGCCACUGCCUCCAAGACGGAUGACAGAUGAGGGUUGAUAGUUCUCUGAUUAUGUGCCUCCUGGGGAAUAGGGAGGAACCAGCAUCAACUGGCAGCUGCCUUGGGCCACUCGCUGUCCUGAAUGCCUUCCUCCCAUUGGUAGGCCAGUCCAUCCAUGCAUCUCCCCGAAACUCCUAAGUCAGAGGUAAACGCUAGAAGAAACACUACUGCAUGCAAAGCACACAGUAAACGCUCAAUCCUUGCAA
Molecule: long non-coding RNA, 536 nt
Filed under: Rattus norvegicus (Norway rat)
Lineage: Eukaryota; Metazoa; Chordata; Mammalia; Rodentia; Muridae
Description: long non-coding RNA NONRATT018839
Source: RNAcentral